RNAcentral lists this ribosomal RNA (1296 nucleotides) under Campylobacter jejuni. RNAcentral's name for it is "partial 23S ribosomal RNA". It matches the Rfam family "Bacterial large subunit ribosomal RNA", at positions 1 to 1278 of the family's 2925-position model. Lineage: Bacteria; Pseudomonadati; Campylobacterota; Epsilonproteobacteria; Campylobacterales; Campylobacteraceae. The record is from RNAcentral.
AGGUAAGCUACUAAGAGCGAAUGGUGGAUGCCUUGACUGGUAAAGGCGAUGAAGGACGUACUAGACUGCGAUAAGCUACGGGGAGCUGUCAAGAAGCUUUGAUCCGUAGAUUUCCGAAUGGGGCAACCCAAUGUAUAGAGAUAUACAUUACCUAUAUAGGAGCGAACGAGGGGAAUUGAAACAUCUUAGUACCCUCAGGAAAAGAAAUCAAUAGAGAUUGCGUCAGUAGCGGCGAGCGAAAGCGCAAGAGGGCAAACCCAGUGCUUGCACUGGGGGUUGUAGGACUGCAAUGUGCAAGAGGUAAGUUUAGCAGAACAUUCUGGAAAGUAUAGCCAUAGAGGGUGAUAGUCCCGUAUGCGAAAAACAAACCUUAGCUAGCAGUAUCCUGAGUAGGGCGGGACACGAGGAAUCCUGUCUGAAUCCGGGUCGACCACGAUCCAACCCUAAAUACUAAUACCAGAUCGAUAGUGCACAAGUACCGUGAGGGAAAGGUGAAAAGAACUGAGGUGAUCAGAGUGAAAUAGAACCUGAAACCAUUUGCUUACAAUCAUUCAGAGCCCUAUGUAGCAAUACAGGGUGAUGGACUGCCUUUUGCAUAAUGAGCCUGCGAGUUGUGGUGUCUGGCAAGGUUAAGCAAACGCGAAGCCGUAGCGAAAGCGAGUCUGAAUAGGGCGCUUAGUCAGAUGCUGCAGACCCGAAACGAAGUGAUCUAUCCAUGAGCAAGUUGAAGCUAGUGUAAGAACUAGUGGAGGACUGAACCCAUAGGCGUUGAAAAGCCCCGGGAUGACUUGUGGAUAGGGGUGAAAGGCCAAUCAAACUUCGUGAUAGCUGGUUCUCUCCGAAAUAUAUUUAGGUAUAGCGUUGUGUCGUAAUAUAAGGGGGUAGAGCACUGAAUGGGCUAGGGCAUACACCAAUGUACCAAACCCUAUCAAACUCCGAAUACCUUAUAUGUAAUCACAGCAGUCAGGCGGCGAGUGAUAAAAUCCGUCGUCAAGAGGGAAACAACCCAGACUACCAGCUAAGGUCCCUAAGUCUUACUUAAGUGGAAAACGAUGUGAAGUUACUUAAACAACCAGGAGGUUGGCUUAGAAGCAGCCAUCCUUUAAAGAAAGCGUAAUAGCUCACUGGUCUAGUGAUUUUGCGCGGAAAAUAUAACGGGGCUAAAGUAAGUACCGAAGCUGUAGACUUGCACACAACUUAGAUUAUUUAAGUUUAGAAUAAGUAGUUUAAGUUGUGUGCAAGUGGUAGGAGAGCGUUCUAUUUGCGUCGAAGGUAUACCGGUAAGGAGUGCUGGAG